This 235-nucleotide ribosomal RNA is filed under the name uncultured bacterium. RNAcentral describes it as "partial 16S ribosomal RNA". It matches the Rfam family "Bacterial small subunit ribosomal RNA", at positions 977 to 1209 of the family's 1533-position model. The record is from RNAcentral.
UGGGUUUGACAUGGAUCGGGAGUGCUCAGAGAUGGGUGUGCCUCUUUUGGGGUCGGUUCACAGGUGGUGCAUGGCUGUCGUCAGCUCGUGUCGUGAGAUGUUGGGUUAAGUCCCGCAACGAGCGCAACCCUUGUUCACUGUUGCCAGCACGUUAUGGUGGGGACUCAGUGGAGACCGCCGGGUCAACUCGGAGGAAGGUGGGGAUGACGUCAAGUCAUCAUGCCCCUUAUGUCCG